AUUCCCUACCUCUUCAAGAAUGGCCUUGUCCUUAAGGUCGAUUGUGAACCUGAUGAGCCACAAAAUAUGAAAAUUGAUGUUUGAUAUACCCCCAAUCUUUCCACGUAGCAUCCUCCUCCUUAAGAUUUGCCCAGUGAAUCAGCACUUUAACCCCUACACCAUUGUCAAUAUUCACCAUUUUCCUUUGCACGAUGGCCACCGAUUGAAUCAACACUUGACUGUUGGUAUCACACAUGGGUGACUGCAGCUGAGGUUCGAUUGUUGGCCCUAUCCGCUUUUUAAGCUGGGAUACAUGGAAUACUGGGUGAAGCUGCGGUCCUUCAGGAAGGUCCAAGAGGUAAGCUAUUGUUCCGAUCUUCUUCAAGAUUUUGUAGGGACCAAAAUAACGAGCACAAAACUUGACAUUCUUUCGAACCUCUAUUAAUGAUAGUCUAUAUGGUUGUAGCUUAAGAUAUACUUGAUCCCCAACCUCCAAAAUUCUUUCUGACCUUGAUCUAUCAGCAAAGAAUUUCGUGCGUGAUUGUGGUCGAAUCAGAUUGUCCUUAAGUGUCUGUAUCAUAUGCUGUCGUUUUGCUAAACUCAGAUAAGCCAUAUUCUGCCCAGAAUUAGGUAGUGAGCCUAAGGGUAUCCGGGGAGGUGCAUACCCAUAUAGUGCUUCAAAAGGUGUGAUCUUGAGGGCGCUGUUUGUACCACCACUCUGCCAUAUGAAGCCACUUGACCCAUUGUUUAGGAUUAUCAAAGUCCAUAGCCCUUACGUAAGUUUCCAUGCAUCUGUUGAGUCUCUCUAUCUGGCCAUCACUCUGAGGAUGAUAAGCUGAACUUAAACUGAGUUUGGUGCCCAUUGAUCUGAAGAGAUGCUGCCAAAAGUGGCUAGUGAAGAAUGGAUCUCUAUCAGACACUAUGGAUCUAGGAAUUCCAUGCAAUCUGUAAAUCUCCUUGAGGAACAAUUAUGCUACCUCUUGUGCUGUAAAAGGAUGUUUAAGAGGCAGAAAAUGACCAUACUUAGUGAACCUGUCAACCACCACUAUGCUUUCUUCUGAUUUGAAUUAGGAAGGCCUUCUACAAAAUCCAUAGAUAUAUCUUGCCAUGCUUGUUCAGGAAUAUGAAGAUGUUGUAGUAACCCAGGAUAGUGCACAUUCUCUGAUUUCACUCUUUGAGAAAUAUCACAUUCACUGACCCAUUUUCAACUGUCAGCCUUCAUAUCGGGCCAAUAAAAAUGCAACUGUAGCCUCUUGUAAGUACCAUGUUGGCCUGAAUGUCCCCCCACUGUAGAUUGAUGUAGUGCUUCCCACACUUUCCUCCUCAAUGUAUUACUCUUUCUCACAUAUAUCUUUUGAUUGUAUCUGAUUAUCUCUUGUUGUAAUGUAUAGUCUGAAUUGUUUUGAGGAGUUGUUAUCAAUUUAGUUAACAUAUGAGUAUCCUUAGGGUCACCUUCAUAAGCUUGACUGAUUUCCUCUAGCCAAGAAGGUUGUGUAGUAGAAAUAGCCAGUAAGGUUGAGUCAUCAAUAUCUUCAUGUCCCCUCGAUAGGGCAUCAGCGGCCCUGUUUUCAGAACCUCUCUUGUACUGGAUUUCAUAGUCUAGCCCCAAGAGUUUAGUGAGGCCCUUAUGUUGCAACACUGUAGUGACCUUCUGCUCCAGUAAAUAUUUAAUGCUCUGGUGAUCUGUUCUCACAAUGAAAUGACCACAUUGUAGAUAAUGUCUCCAUUUAUCUACUGCUGUUAAAACUUCCAUAAACUCCUUCUCAUAUGUAGACAAUCCUCUAUUCCUUGUAGCUAAGGCCUUGCUUAAGUAGGCUAUAGGUCUGCCCUCUUGCAUUAGGACAUUACCCAUCCAUGUAGAACAUGUAUCUAUUUCCACAAUAAAGGUCUUGGUGAAAUCUGGUAGUGCUAAUACAUGUGUUGUGGACAUAGCAUUCUUCAGAUUUUGAAAGGCCUCUUCUGCAAUUUCAUUCCAUUGAAAUUAAUUCUUCUUAAGUAGGUCAGUCAAUGGCCUACUAAUAAUACCAUAGGAUUUCACAAAUCUUCUGUAAUAGCCUGUAAGACCUAGGAACCCCCUGAGUGACUUGACUGACUUAGAUGUAUGCCAAUUCACCAUAGCUUCUAUCUUGGUAGGAUCAGUAGCUACCCCCUGACCAGAGAUUAUAUGACCCAAAAUACUCUACCUUAUCUUGCCCAAAAGCACAUUUGGAAAGUUUAGCAUAAAGUUUUUCCCUCUGUAAAACUUGAAACACCUGUCUGAGAUGAUCCACAUGACUGUCCACUGUUGGACUGUAAACUAAAAUGUCAUCAAAGAAAACUAGAAGAAACUUUGUAACGACCUGACCCGUCGUCCCGUGUAUUUCCGCCCUGUUUUUCCCUUUUUAUGCUUCUAUAUGUUUUAAUAUAUGUAUUUGGAGAGUUUGGAGUAAUUCGGAUGAAGUUCGGAUAUAAAUGAGACAAUUAGUCUCUUUAAGAGGAAGUCAGUUUGGAAAAGUCAACCGAACAUUGACUUAUGAGUUAGAGGGCUCGGAAUGGAUUUCCUAUGAUUCGAGUAGUUUCUGAUGAUGAUUUAUGACUUAAGAGCAAAAUCAGAACUCAAUUUGGAGGUCCGGUGUAGAAUUAGGUAUGGAUCGGCUAAGUUAGAAAUUUGGCGAAGUCUGGUUGAUAGGUGAUAUUUUUAUCUGAGGGUCGGAAUGAAAUUCCGACAUUUGCAGUAGCUCCGUUAGCUGAUUUUUGAUAUGUUUGCAAAUUUUCAGAUCAUCCAGAGGUGUUUAUGUCGGGUUUUGGAGCAAAUGCAAGUUUCGGAAGUUUUAGUUUAGCUUAGGCUUGAAUCUGUGGAAAUUGGGUGAUUUUGAUGUUUGUGAUAGUAUUUUUGUGUUGCAAGCAAGUUUGAAUGAAGUAAUGGGACAUAUUUAUGCAUUUGGUUGGGGUCCCGAGUGCCUCGGGGUGAAAUCGGAUGAUAAAAACGAAGAAUUUUGAAAAUGCAAUAGGUCUGUUGCACAAGCUUCUGGUAUUUCUGUGGAAGCGGAAGAAUUACCGCAAAAGAGGCUACCGCGGAAGCGGUAAUAGAUCGCAGAAGCAGUCUUGGUCCAGCUGGGCGACCGCAAAAGAGGCCAAGUCGACCGUGUAGGCAGAGACCGCGAAAGCGGUUAUUGACCACAUAAGCGGUCUCAGUCGACUCAAGGGAGGCUGCAAAAGCGGUUUAUUGACCGCAGAAGCGACCACAGGUCAAAAAUGGUGAUUAGGACUGGAAGCCUAAGAGAGAGUAAAAUGGUGAUUUGAAAGGGUAGACGGACUUCGUUUUUGUUAAACCUUAUAUGUAUGGAUUCGUGACGAGACGAAGAAUCCAAAGAUGUUACUUUUCAAAUUUUUUGAGAAGUGGGCCCGGGGUUCGGGUUUUACCAACUUCGUGAUUUUCAAUGUUUUUCGAAUAACUUCAAUUGGGUUAUGUUUAUUUAGCCUAUAAUAACAUGUUCGUUGUGAUUUUUAAUAGAUUCGACGCUCGUAGGAGAAGAUUCGAAGGGAAAAGGCAUUCUGGCUAGAGGUGAGUAGUUUGUAUUGAUGAUGGCUUGAGGGUUUGAAACCCCGGUUCAUCACAUCAUCACGCUAUGUUAGGGCGUGACUCGCACCCCAUGGCACGUGCGGGAUGGUAUAUGAUUUGGGAUUGUGACUUGGUCCAUCCCGAGAGCGAAAUAUAAAUUAUUGGUGGCUGAUAUGCACAUUGUGUUGUUGAUAAUUGGGCUUAAUGCCAUAUUUGGGGCCUUGUGCCGAUCUGUAGUACCCGUCUAGGGUGAAUAACAGUGUGAUAACAUGAUUUUGCAUAAUCAUUGAUCUCUGUCCUGUAUUUAAUCACCGUAAUGAAAUGCUAAGUCAUUUUUUCCUGAAAUUAAAUAAUUAAAUUAUAUUUGCCGUAAAAAUCGGAAAGAUGGGAAUUUAGAUUGAAUCUGUUUAUGUGACUCAUAUGCAUAUUGUGGACUGAGCAUGGGUCAAUAAUCGAAAAAAUGGGGAAUUAGAUUGAAUCUGUUUAUGUAACUCAUAUGCAUAUUGUGGAUUAAGCAUGGGUCGGGCUACACGACCUGCACCGGAUAUAUAUUGAUGUUGCGCUUGGGCUGAAGGAGCCCCUCCGGAGUCUGUACACACCCCCAGUGAGCGUCGUCGACGUUAAAUGGAUCGGGCUGCACUUUCCGCAGCGAAUUCAUGUGCAUUGCAUUCCAUUUUUAUCUGAUACUUGGUUGUUAUUGUGAUAUUGUUAUACUGUUAGCCUGUAGCUAAGUUAUAGGAUGGUUAGUUAUAGCUUUGCAUUGUGGUUUUUUCAUGGAUUUCUUAAUUUUAGUCAUUUUCUAUACUUAUUAUUCUCUAAGUCAGUAGUACUCACCCCUACUCCCUGCACCUUGUGUGCAGAUUCAGGUACACCAGAGGCUUAGCUGAUUCUCGUAGUCUCCAAAGAUAUUU
RNAcentral lists this long non-coding RNA (4431 nucleotides) under Nicotiana benthamiana. Its description in RNAcentral is "long non-coding RNA (NBEN_LNC019586)". Lineage: Eukaryota; Viridiplantae; Streptophyta; Magnoliopsida; Solanales; Solanaceae. The record is from RNAcentral.